RNAcentral lists this ribosomal RNA (207 nucleotides) under uncultured bacterium. Its description in RNAcentral is "partial 16S ribosomal RNA". It matches the Rfam family "Bacterial small subunit ribosomal RNA", at positions 568 to 774 of the family's 1533-position model. The record is from RNAcentral.
AGCGCAGGCGGGAAGACAAGUUGGAAGUGAAAUCUAUGGGCUCAACCCAUAAACUGCUUUCAAAACUGUUUUUCUUGAGUAGUGCAGAGGUAGGCGGAAUUCCUGGUGUAGCGGUGGAAUGCGUAGAUAUCGGGAGGAACACCAGUGGCGAAGGCGGCCUACUGGGCACCAACUGACGCUGAGGCUCGAAAGUGUGGGUAGCAAACA